RNAcentral lists this ribosomal RNA (342 nucleotides) under Metridia lucens. RNAcentral describes it as "partial 28S ribosomal RNA". Lineage: Eukaryota; Metazoa; Arthropoda; Copepoda; Calanoida; Metridinidae. The record is from RNAcentral.
AGUACGUGAAACCGUCUAGCGGUAAAGAGAGGGGAUCUCGAAGUUCUGAGGGGGACUCAACCUUGGUGGUGCUUGGCCUGGGCGUAUUUGAUCAGCAAUGACUUUGCGUUUAGUCCCGAGUACCUCCCGGACGCACUUUCUCCUCAGUUGACGGCAGGAACUGUUAGGAGCGAACUGAAGGCCCAGGGUGAAGUUGUUGGUUAUGCUGGCAGCCCUUGGUGUCCUAGCUUCGCAUCUGACAGGUAUGUAAGCAAACUCGUAUAGCGAGCAAUUCCCUAUUGCGGUUUGCAUCUCUCUGCCGAGUAGGUCGGUGUCUCCUCUCACCCGUCUUGAAACACGGAC